CCUCCGUUCUGCCGCCGUGAGGAAUAUUGGUCAAUGGCCGAGAGGCUGAACCAGCCAAGUCGCGUGAGGGAAGACGGCCCUACGGGUUGUAAACCUCUUUUGUCGGGGAGCAAAGCGAGUCACGUGUGACUCAUUGAGAGUACCCGAAGAAAAAGCAUCGGCUAACUCCGUGCCAGCAGCCGCGGUAAUACGGAGGAUGCGAGCGUUAUCCGGAUUUAUUGGGUUAAAAGGGUGCGCAGGCGGAGGUGCAAGUCAGCGGUCAAAUUGCGGGGCUCAACCCCGUACUGCCGUUGAAACUGGAUGCCUAGAGUGCGCGAGAGGUAUGCAGAAUGCGUGGUGUAGCGGUGAAAUGCAUAGAUAUCACGCAGAACUCCGAUUGCGAAGGCAGCAUACCGGCGCGCAACUGACGCUCAUGCACGAAAGCGUGGGUAUCGAACAGGAUUAGAUACCCGAGUAGUC
Molecule: ribosomal RNA, 459 nt
Filed under: uncultured bacterium
Lineage: Bacteria
Description: partial 16S ribosomal RNA
Rfam family: Bacterial small subunit ribosomal RNA
Source: RNAcentral